GGUUUGUUCCAGUACCAGGAGAAACUGGAAGUACUCCGGAGCAAACAGGGAGAAAAUCGUUCCUGUACUAUCUUCUUCUCUUUUUUCUUCUUCUGGUGGCAAACCGGAGUGAAAAGGAGCAAGAAUUUUUUGCUCCGGAGCAACAGGGAGUAACUUCCAUGUACUGGAACAAACCUAAUGACUUUCAACUAUACUAUACAUACAUUCUAUGUGAUUGUCACAUACCUAAGUGUUAUGUGUAAAGAACAUGAACAUUAUGUGAAUAUACGAUGUGAAAAAAGUUGACAGUUUCAAUAUGGUUUCUCGUAUAGUAACAGCACAAGGCAAAGGAAUUACGAUCGGAGAUACUCAAACACUUUUCUGAAGGUAUUUAAAGAAUGCGGAAACGGAAAAAAACUGUUAGCAUUGAAGGAACCAAAAAAACUACGACGAAGUUUGCUGAUUUUCUCAACACAAAGGAAGCAUAAUAAGAGAAACUAUUUUAGCUGCUGAUAGUUAUGCAAAUGCUAUUAAUUAUAAACAGAACAUGUAAAUAUAAGAUGCAUUACAAUAAAA
This is a long non-coding RNA of Topomyia yanbarensis, 555 nucleotides long. RefSeq lists it as uncharacterized. The record is from RefSeq and is a predicted model, not a curated record. NCBI's taxonomy places the organism in Eukaryota, Metazoa, Arthropoda, Insecta, Diptera, Culicidae. The transcript is spliced from 2 exons.